Rhinolophus ferrumequinum (greater horseshoe bat) is the source of this 107-nucleotide small nuclear RNA. The record is from Ensembl. NCBI's taxonomy places the organism in Eukaryota, Metazoa, Chordata, Mammalia, Chiroptera, Rhinolophidae.
GUACUUGCUUUGGCAGCACAUAUACUGAAAAUGGAACCCUACAGAAAAGAUCAGCAUGGCCCCUGCACAAGGAUGACAGGCAAAUCCGUGCAGUGUUCCAUGUUUUU